ACGAGUUCGUGCCCUCGCGGGUAGAUCUCCCACCCUGUGUUAUCGUUACCUUCGUUGCUUUGGCGGGCCGCCCGGCCCCGGUCAGGCUACCGGCUCACGCUGGUAAGCGCCCGCCAGAGGACCCAAAACUCUGAAUGUUAGUGUCGUCUGAGUACUAUAUAAUAGUUA
This 168-nucleotide unclassified non-coding RNA is filed under the name uncultured Leptodontidium. Its description in RNAcentral is "sequence contains ITS1". The record is from RNAcentral. Lineage: Eukaryota; Fungi; Ascomycota.